This 1383-nucleotide long non-coding RNA is filed under the name Heterocephalus glaber (naked mole-rat). RNAcentral describes it as "lncRNA (ENSHGLG00100033317.1)". The record is from RNAcentral. Lineage: Eukaryota; Metazoa; Chordata; Mammalia; Rodentia; Bathyergidae.
CUGUUGAUGUGCAAAUGUGAAUCAUAUUGAGAAGGUCUGAAUAGGGAGGUGUGACGUAAGGAGGGCUACACACGCAGGUGCUUAUCUCUAAGCAGUCAAAGGCACUGGAUGUCAUAUCAUGGGAACUACCUUUCAAAGAAACAGCUUUAGUGUGUCCUUUCAGCACACAAGGGAGGAGAGAAAUAUAAGUUUUGGAAACACACAAAAAAACCCCAAAUUUUGUGAGAUUCCUUGAAGGACUGUAUCGAUUCCAUUUUAUGUGACUUCAUGCUCAUGUCAAGCCUAAGCUGAUCCAUGGGUAUGAAGUUCAAGGAUGAGAUCCAGGAUGCAGAGAUAAACAUUUGGAAGUGGUCGCCAAGGAAAAUAUAUGGAGUGAAAAAAGAACCAAGACUGGGGGCUGCAGGGAAUAGCAACAUUGAAUGAGAAGAUGCAGAAAGGGGAUUCAACAGAAAAGGAUUUAGAGGAGGCCGUAAGAAGCCAGGAAUAUCAUGAAAACAGACAUAAACAGUUUCUCAAAGAAAGACUGGGCAAUAGCGUUAACUGCUCAGAAAAUGACAGUUAGACAGGAUUCAAUACAUCAAAGAGGGCCUCACUGGUAGCCAGAGGAACUUCAGUGGCAUCAGGGGUUGGAAGCCAGAUGGCCAUGAGUUGUGUAGGGAAAGAAAAUGGGGUGGGGGGAGUGAGAAUUUUAAGAAGUUUGACUUUGAGGAAUAGAGGUAGCAAUACAGAGAGGAGAAAUAUAUUUAUAUGCUGAAAAGAAAGAAUUAAAAAAGGUAAGAAGUUGAAAAAUUUGAAAGGCUGUAUGUAGGAAAAAAAAAAGAAAACACCCUAAGGGACAGUGUAACAGAAGAAAAUAUAAGCAGACACCUAACCUUAGAAAGCAGGAGGUCACCUCUUCCUUCUCAAGCAGAGGAAAGGAAGAAGCAUGCGUGCAGGGAGACAGGGUGCAAGGGGAAGAAUGAGCUGCUAACAAGUUGAUUGUCUCAUAGAAGCCACCAAAAUCAGGUAGCAGAAGUCUAUAUUGACUCGGUAACAUGGCUUUAAAGUGUAAGUUCCUUCAACAUGUUAGUUUUUAUUAAUUAUUACAUUUUAUUAAAAAGAAGAGAUUCCAUCUAACUUUUAAAUUUUAUUUGUGAUUGAUAUUGGCACGAACUCAGAAGACAGCACAAGAAAACCAAAGAACCAGGGGAGGUAGGGAUUUUCCUCUUGGAUUUGAGCCGUCUUAAAAAAGAUGCAGGCAAUUAUGAGGGUUAAAGGGAAAGUGGAGACUCUUCUCCCAUCUGGAGCAGUCUGGAAGAAGGGACAUGAGGCUUGAGAGAGGGGAGACACUGGCUUUUCUCCAUAGAGGACACGUGUUGAUGAGUGGAGUGGGGAGUAAUGAGU